AGCAGCCGCGGUAAUUCCAGCUCCAAUAGCGUAUAUUAAAGUUGCUGCAGUUAAAAAGCUCGUAGUUGAAUUUCGGGACUAAUAUGUCGGUCGUGCCUCGGUACGUACUGGUUUAUUGGUUUCUCCUUUCUGAAGAACCAUGAUGUCAUUUAUUUGGUGUCGUGGGGAAUCAGGACUGUUACUUUGAAAAAUUAGAGUGUUUAAAGCAGGCUCACGCUUGAAUACAUUAGCAUGGAAUAAUGAAAUAGGACGUUUGAUUCUAUUUUGUUGGUUUCUAGGAUCGACGUAAUGAUUAAUAGGGAUAGUUGGGGGCAUUAGUAUUCAAUUGUCAGAGGUGAAAUUCUUGGAUUUAUUGAAGACUAACUACUGCGAAAGCAUUUGCCAAGGAUGUUUUCAUUAAUCAAGAACGAAAGUUAGGGGAUCGAAGACGAUCAGAUACCGUCGUAGUCUUAACCAUAAACUACGCCGACUAGGGAUCGGAUGAUGUUAAUUUUUUAAUGACUCAUUCGGCGCCUUACGG
Molecule: unclassified non-coding RNA, 520 nt
Filed under: uncultured Glomus
Lineage: Eukaryota; Fungi; Glomeromycota; Glomeromycetes; Glomerales; Glomeraceae
Description: SSU rRNA
Rfam family: Eukaryotic small subunit ribosomal RNA
Source: RNAcentral